This 253-nucleotide ribosomal RNA is filed under the name uncultured bacterium. Its description in RNAcentral is "partial 16S ribosomal RNA". It matches the Rfam family "Bacterial small subunit ribosomal RNA", at positions 524 to 776 of the family's 1533-position model. The record is from RNAcentral.
UACGUAGGCAGCGAGCGUUGUUCGGAGUUACUGGGCGUAAAGAGCGUGUAGGCGGCCAUACAGGUCCGUUGUGAAAACUCGAGGCUUAACCUCGAGACGUCGAUGGAAACCGUAUGGCUAGAGUCCGGAAGAGGAGAGUGGAAUUCCUGGUGUAGCGGUGAAAUGCGCAGAUAUCAGGAAGAACACCCGUGGCGAAGGCGGGUCUCUGGGCCGAUACUGACGCUGAGGAGCGAAAGCGUGGGGAGCGAACAGG